GAAGGUAUAGCUCAGUGGUAGAGUGCCUGCUUAGCAUGCACAAGGUCCUGGGAUCAAUCCCCAGGACCUCCA
Molecule: transfer RNA, 72 nt
Organism: Camelus ferus (Wild Bactrian camel)
Lineage: Eukaryota; Metazoa; Chordata; Mammalia; Artiodactyla; Camelidae
Rfam family: tRNA
About the family: Transfer RNA (tRNA) molecules are approximately 80 nucleotides in length.
Source: Rfam